UACCAUGCUGAUCGGGCGAUGUCCUUGG
RNAcentral lists this small RNA (28 nucleotides) under Bombyx mori (domestic silkworm). Its description in RNAcentral is "ovarian small RNA-20618". Lineage: Eukaryota; Metazoa; Arthropoda; Insecta; Lepidoptera; Bombycidae. The record is from RNAcentral.